Molecule: ribosomal RNA, 790 nt
Filed under: Halomonas sp. H30.2
Lineage: Bacteria; Pseudomonadati; Pseudomonadota; Gammaproteobacteria; Oceanospirillales; Halomonadaceae
Description: bacterial SSU rRNA
Rfam family: Bacterial small subunit ribosomal RNA
Source: RNAcentral
GCUGGCGGCAGGCCUAACACAUGCAAGUCGAGCGGAAACGAUGGAAGCUUGCUUCCAGGCGUCGAGCGGCGGACGGGUGAGUAAUGCAUAGGAAUCUGCCCGGUAGUGGGGGAUAACUUGGGGAAACCCAAGCUAAUACCGCAUACGCCCUACGGGGGAAAGCAGGGGAUCUUCGGACCUUGCGCUAUCGGAUGAGCCUAUGUCGGAUUAGCUAGUUGGUGAGGUAAUGGCUCACCAAGGCCGCGAUCCGUAGCUGGUCUGAGAGGAUGAUCAGCCACAUCGGGACUGAGACACGGCCCGAACUCCUACGGGAGGCAGCAGUGGGGAAUAUUGGACAAUGGGCGAAAGCCUGAUCCAGCCAUGCCGCGUGUGUGAAGAAGGCCCUCGGGUUGUAAAGCACUUUCAGUGAGGAAGAACGCUUGUGGGUUAAUACCCUGCAAGGAAGACAUCACUCACAGAAGAAGCACCGGCUAACUCCGUGCCAGCAGCCGCGGUAAUACGGAGGGUGCGAGCGUUAAUCGGAAUUACUGGGCGUAAAGCGCGCGUAGGCGGCUUGAUAAGCCGGUUGUGAAAGCCCCGGGCUCAACCUGGGAACGGCAUCCGGAACUGUCAGGCUAGAGUGCAGGAGAGGAAGGUAGAAUUCCCGGUGUAGCGGUGAAAUGCGUAGAGAUCGGGAGGAAUACCAGUGGCGAAGGCGGCCUUCUGGACUGACACUGACNCUUAGGUGCNAAAGCGUGGGUAGCAAACAGGAUUAGAUACCCUGGUAGUCCACGCCGUAAACNAUGUCGAC